Molecule: small RNA, 50 nt
Filed under: Drosophila willistoni
Lineage: Eukaryota; Metazoa; Arthropoda; Insecta; Diptera; Drosophilidae
Description: GK28026
Source: RNAcentral
AACUGUAAAUUGAGAGCGCGGGUGGGAGCAAAAAAAAGAACGAAAUCAAA